GGCCGGGCCCUGUGCGACGGAAGCUUGCAAACCCCGCCAGGUCCGGAAGGAAGCAACGGUAAGCAAAUACUUCUGGGUGCCGCAGGUCGCCUGGCCUUU
This 99-nucleotide signal recognition particle RNA is filed under the name Nitrospirota bacterium. RNAcentral's name for it is "Nitrospirae bacterium (groundwater metagenome) signal recognition particle sRNA small type". It matches the Rfam family "Bacterial small signal recognition particle RNA". Rfam says of the family: The signal recognition particle (SRP) is a universally conserved ribonucleoprotein involved in the co-translational targeting of proteins to membranes. Archaeal SRP consists of a 7S RNA and homologues of the eukaryotic SRP19 and SRP54 proteins. RNAcentral also lists the same sequence under 1 other name. Lineage: Bacteria; Pseudomonadati; Nitrospirota. The record is from RNAcentral.